AGGCCUUUUGCAGCAAGAAAAACUUGGGAAAGGGGCCCCCACACGCACUUCUCCUGCACCCUGGCUAGAUUUCCCGGCACGGGCCAGCCAGGGCAGCCAGCCUGACCUGCUCCAGGAAAGCCUGAGGCCCGGAGGUCCCUGGGAAGGGAGUUUCUUGGAGUGGGCUGGAACGGCUCACCCUCACCUGCCCCCAGAGAAACGGCCCUUGUCCAGGGAGGAAGGCCAGCCUUUUUC
Molecule: long non-coding RNA, 234 nt
Filed under: Homo sapiens (human)
Lineage: Eukaryota; Metazoa; Chordata; Mammalia; Primates; Hominidae
Description: LHRI_LNC658.1
Source: RNAcentral